This is a long non-coding RNA of Ictalurus punctatus (channel catfish), 406 nucleotides long. NCBI's taxonomy places the organism in Eukaryota, Metazoa, Chordata, Actinopteri, Siluriformes, Ictaluridae. The record is from Ensembl.
GUUAGGGGUUAGUGUGUUAGGGGUUAGUGUGUUAGGGGUUAGUUUGCCUGACUGUCUCUAUCUGUGUCUCCCCCUCUCUCUUUUUGGGUAUCUCUCUCUUUUUCUUUCCAUGUCUCUGUCUAUCUUUCAGUGUCACUUUGGGUUGCUUUAUCUCUCUCUUUCUGUGUCUCUCUCUCUCUCUCGUGUUUCUCUCUUUUCAUCUCUUGUGUCUCUCAUUCUCUGUCUGUAUCACUGUCUCUAUCCCACACUUUUUCUUUUUGUGUGUCUUUUUCUAUAACUCUCACUGUCUCUGUUGUUUUGGGUGUAUCUCUCUCUCUCGUUCUCUCUUUGGGUGUCUCUCGCUCAGUCUGUCUUUCUCUUCAAGUGUCUCUCUCUCUCUCUGUCUAUAUCUCUCGCUCUCUCUUUU